Non-coding RNA from Equus caballus (horse), 947 nucleotides. Lineage: Eukaryota; Metazoa; Chordata; Mammalia; Perissodactyla; Equidae. The record is from the annotation of a RefSeq genome assembly.
GUGUCUGUCUUGACCUGGAGCCACGAACUUCAACUAUGCAGUGGUGAGGGUGUCUCUCUGAGCUUGCAAGGGAAAGUGAAGGGUGUGGAGCUGAGAGGAGGCAGCCUGCAUGCCCCAGGCAGAGACAGGGAGAGGGACACCUGCCUCAAAGGAAAAGCAAGAGAGUUGUGGGGAUGGGCAUGAUGCCUAACCCAGCCUAGCCUAGACCAGCCCAGUCCAGCCCCACAUGUCAUGGAAGAGGCUUUGCAGGACAAAGCAGGUUUCCUGAAUCAGAUGAGUCAGGGAACUGGCAAAGGAGGCCUGGCUCAUGGGAACCAGCAGAGACAAUGACAUCAGAGCCAUGACAUCAGAGCCAUGACAUCAUCACCUAACCUCCAAAUCAGAGAAGGGAUACCCUGGACUUCAUCUCUUAGGAGACCAGAACUCUCAGCAGGGGGGAGACCUGCCCAGUUCUGCUCCACCCUGCCAUGGCCUCCAGGCUCCUGUGCUGUGUGGCCCUUUGUGUCCUGGGAACAGGCCCAGUGGAUUCUGGAGUCACCCAAACACCAAGACACCUGAUUAAAGCAAGAGGACAGCAAGUGACAAUGAGAUGUUCCCCUAUCUCUGGGCACAAAAGUGUAUUUUGGUACCAACAGCCACUGGGCCAGGGCCCCCAGUUCCUCGUUCAGUAUUACAAUGAGAAAGAGAAUGAGAAAGCAGACACCGCGAAUCGAUUCUUAGGGAAGCAGUUCAGUAACUAUAGCUCUGAGCUGAAUGUGAGCUUCCUGGAGCUGACGGACUCGGCCCUGUAUCUCUGUGCCAGCAGCGUAGCACAGCCCUGCAGAGUCACCAGCGUUCUGUGCACAAACCUCCUCGCCCCAGCGUGGAGCAACCUCAGAGCUGAUGGAUUUGUGAGGACUUCGGGGCUGCAGCGGGAGAGAAAAACGAGUUAGGGCCCUGGAAAGUAC